Molecule: long non-coding RNA, 2019 nt
Filed under: Homo sapiens (human)
Lineage: Eukaryota; Metazoa; Chordata; Mammalia; Primates; Hominidae
Description: HSALNT0363459
Source: RNAcentral
AUGUACAUGCACAGUAGCAAAGGCGUACUUGCUGUCACUGUAAAUGUUAAUACGUUUAUUCUACUUUAUCGGAGAGCCUGAGUGAGGGCGAUCAAUUCAGCCUUUUGUGCUGAGGUGUUCGCUGGUAAAGCUUGAGCUUACAACACAUCUGUCUCCGUGGUAACAGCUGCACUGGCUUUUAAUACUUCCUGCUUGAGGAAGCUGCUCCUGUCUGUGAACACGGCGGCAUCUGCCUUUUCCAGGGGCACAUCUUGAAGAUCAGAUGGGCCAGUUUCGAUAGUUUCUAACAGUUCUUGACAGUCAUGAGCAGGAAUAGUGCAGUCUGGGUCAGGAUGUAGCGAAGCUGGAUUGAAACACUUUGUGGGAGAGAAAGUCAAACCAGGCUGAUCUAACAGUAAACUUCGAAACUGCAAGAUGCGAGCAUUUGACAUCUAUUUGCCAGAAGCACUUCGUAGUAAGGUCUUUACAGCAUGAGGAGCUGUAAGGGUUAAAUUUUGGCUUAGAGUUAACUUAUCAUCUUCUUGGACUAGGCUUGCUGUAGCCUCUAUGGCUCGCAGACAACUUGGCCAUCUAGAGGCCACAGGAUCUAGCCUCUUAGAUAAAUAGGCCACUGGGCAUCUUUAGGGUCUUAGAGCCUGAGUCAGCACCUCUUUAGCAACUCCUUGGCUUUUAUGGAGAUAUUAGGGAGGGCUAAAGCAGGGGCUUCAGUUAAUGCUAAAUUAAUGGGCUAUUUCAUUCUGCACUUCUUGGAUAGCCGCCACUAAGAUUUUUGUUUGUCUUUUGAAUGAUUUAUCAGCGGCCUUUUCAGCUGCCUGUGUUGUUUUUGUUUUUUAACCUUUUGAUGGUCAAAAGCUUUUUGGACUAUUUCUAAAAGCUGACUGAUAUUUAUUCUAGCAAAUCUUUCUAGUUUUUGGAGUUUCUUUUUAAUAUCCGGGGCUGUCUGAGCCACAAAUGCUAAAUUAAGAGCACGGCUAUUUUCGGGAGCUGCCGGGUCAAAAGGGGUGUAAAUCCGAUAAGCCUCCUGGAGGCGCUCUAAAAACGUUCUUGGUGACUUAUCGGGCCUUUGGACAACGUCGGUCGUCUUAGACAAGUUUAUGGGUUUCUGAGCGGCUCUUUUAAUACUUGCGAGGAGAUACCGGUGAAAAUCGUCUAAAGCUCUCUUUCUACUUGAGGAAUUUGGGUCCCAGUUAGGCCGGGUAGAGGGAAAGACCUCCUCAAGGAGGUUUCUAGCUUCUUCUUCCGGUCUAUUGGCUGAUGUGAGGAAGUACUUUUUGGCUUCUUUUUGGAUACGUUCUUUCUUUUCAGAGGUGAAAAGGGUUAAAAGGAGCUGUUGGCAAUCAUCUUAGGUGGGCGGGUGAGUCCAGAGUACAGACUCUGUCAGAGAGGUCAAAGCCUGGGGCUUUUCAGAGAAGGGAGGAUUAUGGGUUUUCUAAUUACAUAAGUCAGAAGUAGAAAAAGGGACACAAACUAAGAAGGGUGCUGAGCGCUCGUCACCUGGAGGGACUUGUGCCUCUCUCAGUGGUAGUAGAGGGGCUACUUCUUCCUGCCACGGUCAUGAUUGAGAGGCAACGGGUGGCGAGUCUACAGGGGACGUCGUCGAGCAGACAUGGGAUAACUUUAAGGGAGAAGACAGACAAGGGGAGGGGCUCCUGUGAUGGGAUCAGUCAGAUGCCUGCCUGGCCGCUCCCCCUGAGGGGACUUGGGCUCCUCUUAACAUUGGCAGGCUGGUAUAAACUUCCGGCUCAGAUCAAGCUAUGCCUGAUGCUGCCUUAAGCCUUAUGAGGUCGCCACGGAACCGCAGAAACUCCUGGAGGGCAGAGCUGUGUCUGCCAUCUUCAUCAUUGCAUUACCACCACCAAGCACAGUGCCUGGCACAAAAGAGUUGCUCAAUAAAUAAAUCAGGAUGAAUGGAUAAAUACAUGGAUAGGCACUUUGAGCUACAGAUGAGUUUAAAUACUUUGUGUUUUUCUUAGUCAAACAUGUGCAAUUAAGCAUGUGAUAAAUGAUAUGAUGACCACA